This 443-nucleotide ribosomal RNA is filed under the name uncultured bacterium. RNAcentral describes it as "partial 16S ribosomal RNA". It matches the Rfam family "Bacterial small subunit ribosomal RNA", at positions 338 to 795 of the family's 1533-position model. The record is from RNAcentral.
CCUACGGGAGGCAGCAGUGGGGAAUAUUGGGCAAUGGGCGCAAGUCUGACCCAGCAACGCCGCGUGAAGGAUGAAGGCUUUCGGAUUGUAAAGUUCUGUGCUGAGGGAUGAAGCAAGUGACGGUACCUGAGUAGUAAGCCACGGCUAACUACGUGCCAGCAGCCGCGGUAAUACGUAGGUGGCAAGCGUUAUCCGGAUUUACUGGGUGUAAAGGGUGUGUAGGCGGGUAAGUAAGUCAGCUGUGAAAUCCAGGGGCUCAACCUGGGGGCUGCAGUUGAAACUAUUUGUCUUGAGUACAGGAGGGGUAGAUGGAAUUCCUAGUGUAGCGGUGGAAUGCGUAGAUAUUAGGAGGAACACCAGUGGCGAAGGCGAUCUGCUGGACAGUAACUGACGCUGAGGCGCGAAAGCGUGGGGAGCAAACAGGAUUAGAUACCCUUGUAGUC